ACUGGGGCUCUACAGGGUUGCUGAUGGUCGAGAAUGCUUGCUGCGCCGCCUCGAGCGACUCCCACCGCGGUUGUCCCAUCCCGUCCCCGUCUGAACCGCACGCGGCGACAGCGCUCCCAGCUCCAUUGGAUGACGACAUAGGGGCGGACGUCGGGUCAACCAAAUCUCCUCCCGCAGGCCCGACCUCCCUUCUACACCUCCCAGACGAGCUUCUCGACGAAAUCAUCGAAUUGGCGUGGCGAGACCUGCCUAAGUACCGGCGCUAUGCGCCCUGCCAUCGCUUACGGU
Molecule: unclassified non-coding RNA, 288 nt
Filed under: Rhodotorula toruloides
Lineage: Eukaryota; Fungi; Basidiomycota; Microbotryomycetes; Sporidiobolales; Sporidiobolaceae
Source: RNAcentral